GAACCCUGUACGUAAACAAAGAUUUUCGUGUAAUGGCGAAACACUGGCGCGCGGGAAUUUUUCCGGCUCUCGACUCGUAUUACAAAACGCGUUAUCCGGCGUACAAAACGAAAAUUUGUGUACGUACCUACGUAUAGUUUCUUUUGACGCGCGUUCGCUAACUCGAGGCGGUGCAGCGUAAUAAAACCUUCGAUACGUUCGAUGACGGGA
Cinara cedri is the source of this 210-nucleotide non-coding RNA. The record is from the annotation of a GenBank genome assembly. Lineage: Eukaryota; Metazoa; Arthropoda; Insecta; Hemiptera; Aphididae.